GAGUUUGAUCAUGGCUCAGGAUGAACGCUGGCGGCGUGCUUAACACAUGCAAGUCGAACGGAAGUAGUAAUACUUCAGUGGCGCACGGGUGAGGAACACGUAGCUCAUCUGCCCAGAAGUGCGGGAUAACGGUCCGAAAGGAUUGCUAAUACCGCAUAAGCUCACGGACUGUAGAGGUGUGUGAGAAAAGGCUUCGGUCGCUUUUGGAGGAGGCUGCGGCCCAUCAGGUAGUUGGUGCGGUAACGGCGCACCAAGCCGACGACGGGUAGGGGACCUGAGAGGGUGACCCCCCACACU
RNAcentral lists this ribosomal RNA (297 nucleotides) under uncultured Actinomycetes bacterium. RNAcentral's name for it is "uncultured actinobacterium partial 16S ribosomal RNA". It matches the Rfam family "Bacterial small subunit ribosomal RNA", at positions 9 to 314 of the family's 1533-position model. The record is from RNAcentral. Lineage: Bacteria; Bacillati; Actinomycetota; Actinomycetes.